Molecule: long non-coding RNA, 1141 nt
Filed under: Athene cunicularia (burrowing owl)
Lineage: Eukaryota; Metazoa; Chordata; Aves; Strigiformes; Strigidae
Description: lncRNA (ENSACUG00000003690.1)
Source: RNAcentral
NUCCUUCCUUCCUUCCUUCGAAAGUUGUAUCCUUCCUUCCUUCCUUCCUUCCUUCCUUCCUUCCUUCUGCGGGAGGGGAGAGCGCAGGGGGGGCUCAAGGUUCAGGUGUUUGAUCCUCGUUUGGAAAUUCUAAAGGUCACCCCCCGCCCUUAACGGGGCCGCGGGAGGCCGGGACUUGGGGCAAAUCCUGUUUAUUUCUGUGGGGCCGGGCGGGAGGGGCAGCGCUGCAGCCCCCCACAGCCCGCAUGGGGGUCACGCCGUAGUGACUCUGCGGCUGCCUCUGUCACUACCAGAAGUCACUGACCUCCCCGGGGCCGACCCAGGGCGGGUGUCUCGGUUCGAGGCGCUCGCUGCCAACAGCCGAGCAGCCCCCCGCACGCUGCGCGCCCACAGGCCGAGCCGCUGGGGGUGUUUGCAACAUCCGUGGUUUCACUUUUCAGGUGUUCCUACACGAGCUCAAAAUCCAGAGUUACAGGAAGGCGUCCGAGGCCUCCCCCUUCCCCUCGGCACCCCUGGAAGCCAGUGCAGGGACCGACCCCCGGCUCCAUCCUUGCCCCCCAGGCCCUGUCCCUGCCCCGGGCGCUGCCGCGGUGCCACCACACACAGAUGCGGAUGCGGACAUGGUAAAAAAUUAUCUUGGAAAACACGGAGAUGGGGAGGUGUGGGACGAUCACCGCUGCACCACCAGAGUUCUCCAACACCUGACGCAGGCACACGGGUCCGUCACUACACUGGGGAGGCCUCUCCUAACCCUAACGUUUUGGAAACAGCUUUCUUUUCCAAAUUUUAUUUCCUUUCUUUUUUCCCCUUAAGAGCUGCCUUGUCACAAAUCCACAAAGAAGCAACCGAGUUCCUGCCCGUCCGGCCACCGGGUUCGGGGCCCGCUGCGGAGGCGGGUGCGUGGGGCGGCGCAGGAAGGGGAGCCCCGGCACCCGCCCCCCAGCUCCUCACGCUCAGAACUGCCCGGCAGCUUUCCCUUCCUAAUCCAGCCCUUCCCUGAGGAUCGUUAGUUCUUGGUUUAUUGCACGGGAAAACCUAAAGCAGCGGGACUGCGGGUUCCUGGCUGGCGGCCCCUGUGCCAGGGGAAGAACCCGCCGGCACUGGGAGAGCGCCUGGGCCCGGAGCCAAACGCGGCUGCACG